AAAGUCGUAACAAGGUUUCCGUAGGUGAACCUGCGGAAGGAUCAUCAUUGAUUCCGAUCUUAUAUUACACCCCCCUGUGCAACGUUUUGAUUUAUGCGGCGCCCUGGCGCCGCGUAUUUCUUUUUCUUUUUUUUUUUACCAAAACGCCCAACGAACUCGAAUGACUUUUUAUAUUAUAAAAACACAACUUUUAACAACGGAUCUCUUGGUUCUC
Molecule: unclassified non-coding RNA, 214 nt
Filed under: Basidiomycota sp.
Lineage: Eukaryota; Fungi; Basidiomycota
Description: partial contains small subunit ribosomal RNA, internal transcribed spacer 1, and 5.8S ribosomal RNA
Rfam family: Eukaryotic small subunit ribosomal RNA (bases 1-47)
Source: RNAcentral